AGUUCGGAUUGUAGUCUGNAACCCGACUACAUGAAGCUGGAAUCGCUAGUAAUCGCGGAUCAGAAUGCCGCGGUGAAUACGUUCCCGGGUCUUGUACACACCGCCCGUCACACCAUGGGAGUCGGAAAUGCCCGAAGUCUGUGACCCAACCUUAGGGAGGGAGCAGCCGAAGGCAGGUCGGAUGACUGGGGUGAAGUCGUAACAAGGUAUC
RNAcentral lists this ribosomal RNA (211 nucleotides) under uncultured bacterium. RNAcentral describes it as "partial 16S ribosomal RNA". It matches the Rfam family "Bacterial small subunit ribosomal RNA", at positions 1290 to 1500 of the family's 1533-position model. The record is from RNAcentral.